RNAcentral lists this ribosomal RNA (301 nucleotides) under uncultured bacterium. RNAcentral's name for it is "partial 16S ribosomal RNA". It matches the Rfam family "Bacterial small subunit ribosomal RNA", at positions 509 to 808 of the family's 1533-position model. The record is from RNAcentral.
CAGUCGCCGCGGUAAUACGUAGGUCCCGAGCGUUGUCCGGAUUUAUUGGGCGUAAAGCGAGCGCAGGCGGUUAGAUAAAUCUGAAGUUAAAGGCUGUGGCUUAACCAUAGUACGCUUUGGAAACUGUUUAACUUGAGUGCAAGAGGGGAGAGUGGAAUUCCAUGUGUAGCGGUGAAAUGCGUAGAUAUAUGGAGGAACACCGGUGGCGAAAGCGGCUCUCUGGCUUGUAACUGACGCUGAGGCUCGAAAGCGUGGGGAGCAAACAGGAUUAGAUACCCCGGUAGUCCCUGUCUCUUAUACA